This 373-nucleotide unclassified non-coding RNA is filed under the name soil metagenome. RNAcentral's name for it is "partial contains 5.8S ribosomal RNA, internal transcribed spacer 2, and large subunit ribosomal RNA". The stretch from base 1 to 121 matches the Rfam family "5.8S ribosomal RNA", at positions 35 to 154 of the family's 154-position model. The record is from RNAcentral.
GAUGAAGAACGUAGCGAAAUGCGAUACUUGGUGUGAAUUGCAGAAUUCCAGUGAGUCAUCGAAUCUUUGAACGCACAUUGCGCCCUUUGGUAUUCCGAAGGGCAUGCCUGUUCGAGCGUCAUUAUCACCCCUCAAGCCCUCGGCUUGGUGUUGGACGGUUUGGUGGAGGCCCCCUCGGGGGUUCCUGCCCCUCCCAAAGACAAUGACGGCGGCCUCGUUGGACCCCCGGUACACUGAGUUCUUCACGGGACACGUAUCGGACACAUGGGUUUACGGGACACGGUCUGCCUCCCCUCAGGGAGAAUCUUUCUAAGGUUGACCUCGGAUCAGGUAGGGAUACCCGCUGAACUUAAGCAUAUCAAUAAGCGGAGGA